Long non-coding RNA from Tarenaya hassleriana, 1547 nucleotides. RefSeq lists it as uncharacterized. The record is from RefSeq and is a predicted model, not a curated record. Lineage: Eukaryota; Viridiplantae; Streptophyta; Magnoliopsida; Brassicales; Cleomaceae. The transcript is spliced from 5 exons.
CAUCAAACGCGUGGUCUCUUUGCAAACACGGAGAGAGAGAGAGAGAGAGAGAGAGUGAGUGAGAGAGGCCAGCGAAAAUGGCGGCUCUGAGACUGCCGGGUUUUCAAGCUCUCCACUUGUUCUGAUUUAACGGCGGAAAACAACAAGAGAAGGCUGAUUGUUCUCGUCGAGACUUUGAAGUUUCGAACUUGGACUUGACUAAUCGGUGAAAACGAAAUCCUGGUCCUGCUUUUGGAGAAAUUGUAAUCAUUUGAAUUCCUAAUUACGUCCAUGACAAUUGUCUGUGUUGCUGGUAUUCAAUCUUCCUUUUGAGUCCUUACGUGAGGAACACUGAAACUGAGAUCUCUGGUGAUCUGAGACCGAGGAUGUUAAGGAGAAUCGAUUAAGUGGAGAUUUUAUACGUCGCCAUUUUCUUGAAUUCCAUGCCUCUGGCGGGCAAUAAGGUUCUUCAAAGUGCUUCCCUUGAGCGAGAAGAUCCCAUUGUUCUUGGGAAGGGGUCUAGGCUGGUUCUUCGGGCUACUAUUGCAUAGAGGUGCAUACGUACAAAUGAUGUGGAAGGCGUCUAGAACUGCUAGACACCAUACAUUCUUUGAGAUGCUUGGUCAUUUCGGGUUUUGGAGAUUACUUCAAGAAAGAAGCAAAAAAGAUGGGCAUCGAAGCUUUCCAGAACCGAAUAUAUGGAUUACCAGACUAUGGACUUUGGGUUAGCAUUUAGGAGCACAGCAAUGAAUCUUUUCAUGCCUUGUGAAUCUGACUGAGCACAGCCAUGAUUCUCGGUACACAUAGGGGACGACAAAAGCAAUCCCAAAGGAGUAUUUUUGCCAACAAUCCGCUGGAAAAGUGAUGUAGUUGGUCACUGGUAUUGAUUCAGACGUAAAAUCGGGAGCAACCUCGAAUCCUUGAGGAAAUCACAUGGGAGGAGCUUCAAUUCAAGCAAAAACCCCCUUGAAAGAGGACAAGAGUUGUUUGGCCAAAUGCUUCAGGAUGCAUUUCAACUCUGAUGAACCGUCCAUAUAUGAUUGCCAUAUUAAGUUUGAGUAGAGAAUUGUAGACAAUCUGAUUCCUUUUAAACCCUUUUCUUGUGGUGAAUGUUUGAAUGCAACAGACUAAUCCGAUCGAGGGAUGGACAAUGACGCUGAUGCAGCGGACUCGUUAAAGAGCAUGCCGAGCAUCUGAUAAGAGCACUAGAAGAUCCAGCUGCAGUUGGUACGAGGAUCAUGUCCAGACAAGGACAAGGGAAAUGAUGAGUAGUGUUCGGUAGGUGAUAAUGAUGAUAAGGGUCAGAUUGACAGCUUCAGAUUUGGAGAAGGUAGGCAGGGAGGAUGGUGAAAGGUUGAGUCUUUGACUCGGUCAAAGUUAGGAUUUGACCCAAAAUCAGAAGGAAAAAAAAAACUAUGAUGGCCUUGACAAAGACACAUUUUUUUUCUUCUUCUUCUGAAUUUCUUUAUGUAAAAGUUGGAAUCUUUUGAGAGAACUUGGAUAAGUUUAGACUGGAGUUCAAAACAGAGAUUCUCAUCUGUAUUGUACAACAUACGUGUCGUUCUAUC